RNAcentral lists this ribosomal RNA (661 nucleotides) under Aneurinibacillus aneurinilyticus. RNAcentral describes it as "bacterial SSU rRNA". It matches the Rfam family "Bacterial small subunit ribosomal RNA", at positions 28 to 682 of the family's 1533-position model. Lineage: Bacteria; Bacillati; Bacillota; Bacilli; Caryophanales; Paenibacillaceae. The record is from RNAcentral.
GGCAACGCUGGCGGCGUGCCUAUACAUGCAUUCCGAGCGGGGAAAGCGGAGUUUGCUCUCGGGCGGGCUUUGGCGGCCGGGCGAGUCACCUGUUCGCACCCUGGCUGUCCGAAUGGGAUAACUCCGGGAAACCGGAGCUAAUACCGGAUACGUUUUUCAGACCGCAUGGUCUGAAAGAGAAAGACCUUUGGUCACGUACAGAUGGGCCUGCGGCGCAUUAGCUAGUUGGUGGGGUAACGGCCUACCAAGGCGACGAUGCGUAUCCGACCUGAAAGGGUGAUCGGCCACACUGGGACUGAGACACGGCCCAGACUCCUACGGGAGGCAGCAGUAGGGAAUCUUCCGCAAUGGACAAAAGUCUGACGGAGCAACGCCGCCUGCACGAUGAAGGUUUUCGUAUCGUAAAGUUCUGUUGUUAGGGAAGAACCGCCAGGAUAUGCUCCCGGUCUGACGGUACCUAACGAGAACGCCCCGGCUAACUACGUGCCAGCAGCCGCGGUAAUACGUAGGGGGCACGCGUUGUCCGGAAUUAUUGCGCGUAUAGCGCGCGCAGGCGGCUUCUUAACUCUGGUGUGAAAGUCCACGGCUCACCCGUGGAGCGCCUCUUGAAACUGGGAGACAUGAGUGCAGGAGAGGAGAGCGGAUUUCCACGUGUAUCGGU